RNAcentral lists this unclassified non-coding RNA (345 nucleotides) under soil metagenome. RNAcentral's name for it is "partial contains 5.8S ribosomal RNA, internal transcribed spacer 2, and large subunit ribosomal RNA". The stretch from base 1 to 120 matches the Rfam family "5.8S ribosomal RNA", at positions 35 to 154 of the family's 154-position model. The record is from RNAcentral.
GAUGAAGAACGCAGCGAAAUGCGAUACGUAAUGUGAAUUGCAGAAUUCAGUGAAUCAUCGAGUCUUUGAACGCUCAUUGCGCCCCCUGGUAUUCCGGGGGGCAUGCCUGUCCGAGCGUCAUUGCUGCCCUCAAGCACGGCUUGUGUGUUGGGCCUCCGUCCUCCUCCCGGGGGACGGGCCCGAAAGGCAGCGGCGGCACCGCGUCCGGUCCUCGAGCGUAUGGGGCUUCGUCACCCGCUCUUGUAGGCCCGGCCGGCGCUUGCCGACACAUCAAUCUUUUUUCCAGGUUGACCUCGGAUCAGGUAGGGAUACCCGCUGAACUUAAGCAUAUCAAUAAGCGGAGGA